CCUGGCUCAGAGCGAACGUUAGCGGCGCGCCUAACACAUGCAAGUCGCACGAGAAAAGGGCUUCGGCCCCGGUAAAGUGGCGCACGGGUGAGUAACACGUGGGCAACCUGCCCAACCCUGGGGAUAACCUGCCGAAAGGCGGGCUAAUACCGCGUACGAGGGCUCGACUUCGGUCGGGUUCUGAAAGCAGGCCUCUGAAUUCAAGCUUGUGGGGUUGGAUGGGCCCGCGGUCCAUCAGCUAGUUGGUGAGGUAAUGGCUCACCAAGGCAACGACGGAUAGCUGGUCUGAGAGGGAUGAUCAGCCACACUGGAACUGAGACACGGUCCAGACUCCUACGGGAGGCAGCAGUGGGGAAUCUUGCGCAAUGGACGAAAGUCUGACGCAGCGACGCCGCGUGGGUGACGAAGGCCU
Molecule: ribosomal RNA, 412 nt
Filed under: uncultured bacterium
Lineage: Bacteria
Description: bacterial SSU rRNA
Rfam family: Bacterial small subunit ribosomal RNA
Source: RNAcentral